ACCCCUGUGACAUACCUAUACGUUGCCUCGGCGGAUCAGCCCGCGCCCCGUAAAACGGGACGGCCCGCCCGAGGACCCCUAAACUCUGUUUUUAGUGGAACUUCUGAGUAAAACAAACAAAUAAAUCAAAACUUUCAACAACGGAUCUCUUGGUUCUGGCAUCGAUGAAGAACGCAGCAAAAUGCGAUAAGUAAUGUGAAUUGCAGAAUUCAGUGAAUCAUCGAAUCUUUGAACGCACAUUGCGCCAGCCAGUAUUCUGGCGGGCAUGCCUGUUCGAGCGUCAUUUCAACCCUCAAGCUCAGCUUGGUGUUGGGACACGCGGUAACCCGCGUUCCCCAAAUCGAUUGGCGGUCACGUCGAGCUUCCAUAGCGUAGUAAUCAUACACCUCGUUACUGGUAAUCGUCGCGGCCACGCCGUUAAACCCCAACUUCUGAAUGUUGACCUCGGAUCAGGUAGGAAUACCCGCUGAACU
RNAcentral lists this ribosomal RNA (473 nucleotides) under Fusarium oxysporum f. sp. lycopersici. Its description in RNAcentral is "eukaryotic LSU rRNA". The stretch from base 130 to 283 matches the Rfam family "5.8S ribosomal RNA". The record is from RNAcentral. Lineage: Eukaryota; Fungi; Ascomycota; Sordariomycetes; Hypocreales; Nectriaceae.